GAAAGCCAAAACUCAAUAAAGCUCAAGCUCUUUCGCAUAAGUAUUUUGGGCGGGCUUUGGGCGGAAGAGUUUUUCAGUGUACCCAACCCAAACCUCGACCCAAAACCCCAUUUAUGCUCAACUCGACAAAAUGUUUGAAGUCACCGAGAUAACGGCUAACCCAGUCUCCUCUCUCCGCAAAUGUUCCUCUCUCUCACUCCGAGUAGAGUUGGUAAGUCAAGGCUUGGCUUUUUCUGCGCUCUGCAUCUUUUCCUCUUUGCCCAGUUCAGGAUUGUGACCCAAAUGAUUCGUAAUAUAG
This 298-nucleotide long non-coding RNA is filed under the name Prunus dulcis (almond). RNAcentral's name for it is "sRNA ncRNA". Lineage: Eukaryota; Viridiplantae; Streptophyta; Magnoliopsida; Rosales; Rosaceae. The record is from RNAcentral.